RNAcentral lists this ribosomal RNA (650 nucleotides) under uncultured bacterium. RNAcentral's name for it is "bacterial SSU rRNA". It matches the Rfam family "Bacterial small subunit ribosomal RNA", at positions 65 to 714 of the family's 1533-position model. The record is from RNAcentral.
RGCGCGCAAGCUUGCUUUUCGCUGACGAGUGGCGCACGGGUGCGUAACGCGUAUACAAUCUGCCUCUUACAGGGGGAUAGCCUUUGGAAACGAAGAAUAAUACCUCAUGGUAUCCCGACCCCGCAUGGGCGUCGGGAUUAAAGAUUUAUUGGUAAGAGAUGAGUAUGCGUCCUAUUAGCUAGAUGGUGUGGUAACGGCACACCAUGGCAACGAUAGGUAGGGGCCCUGAGAGGGGGAUCCCCCACACUGGUACUGAGACACGGACCAGACUCCUACGGGAGGCAGCAGUGAGGAAUAUUGGACAAUGGGCGGAAGCCUGAUCCAGCCAUGCCGCGUGCAGGAAGACUGCCCUAUGGGUUGUAAACUGCUUUUGUACGGGAAGAAACCCACCUACGUGUAGGUGGCUGACGGUACCGUAAGAAUAAGCAUCGGCUAACUCCGUGCCAGCAGUCGCGGUAAUACGGAGGAUGCAAGCGUUAUCCGGAAUCAUUGGGUUUAAAGGGUCCGUAGGUGGAUCGGUCAGUCAGAGGUGAAAUCCUGCAGCUCAACUGUAGAACUGCCUUUGAUACUGCCGGUCUUGAAUUAUCGUGAAGUGGUUAGAAUAUGUAGUGUAGCGGUGAAAUGCAUAGAUAUUACAUAGAAUACCGAUU